This 243-nucleotide long non-coding RNA is filed under the name Elaeis guineensis (African oil palm). Its description in RNAcentral is "long non-coding RNA (EGUI_LNC028127)". The record is from RNAcentral. Lineage: Eukaryota; Viridiplantae; Streptophyta; Magnoliopsida; Arecales; Arecaceae.
GUACCACAACCCUAGUAAUCAUAAAGUCAAGUUCUAAUGCCACCCAAAUCAUAGUCCCUAAUGAUCAUAAUCUAGGCUUUGAUACCAUUCUUGUCAUACCCCAGAUCUCACACUUGGAUUGACCAUAUGACACGAUCGUAUAUUUUCUAGAGUCAAAUUCUAGAGCAUAUGUAAUACUACUAUAAUAAGAAAACCACUGUCAUAGCUUGUAUAGUAGUGGUUAUAAGAAACCGCUGCCAUAGG